GCUCUAAUCACACAAAUAUGAAAACUGAUAUUUAGACGAAGUUUUAUCUCAUGGUUGUGUUCCAUCACUAAACCCAGAAGAAAGUGUUUUACACUUAAGAAUAUAGGAAGUUCCAGCUAAAAUGCUAAUGGUCUAAAAUGUUGGAGGGGCUAGCAGAAGCUUCUCAAAGCUGCAAGCAGUUAAGAGGCAGGCACUUGAGCACUGUUCAGGAGUCAAUGGUGCCUUCGUUCUGCAGGAGCUAGUGGCCCCUAACUGGAAGCACACAUUUUAGACUGAGAAGCUGAGAGCUGCAUCUGGUUAAGCAGGUAUGAAAGGGCAGGUGGCUGUCUCUCCACAACCUUUGCCGUUUUUGGUGAAAAGGAAUUCAACUGUGUGUUUGGGUGAAAAUGAAGAAGCUCUUUUAUGAACAGCUGCUCACACAAAUCAGGAACCGAGGCCUGGGGCCUGGAGUGACCCCAGCUGAGCAGUAUUUAUCCCUGACUGCCCCUAAUGUCCUACAUGUGGAGCUACCUAAGACCAAACAAGCUGGCUUUGGUGAUGGAAGAUGUGACCAGCCUGCUGGAGACAGAGGGUGAGACCCUGUCCCUGGGGGUAGGAAAAGUGCCCAUCCUGGAAAAGAGAUUCUGUAGCAGGACCUGGCACCUGGGCAGGCAGGCUGGCAACAGCUCUGUGCGAUGCUUUGAAUCUUCCAGGCUCCACCUCUUCCUCCAGACACCGGGCCUCAGGUUGCCUGGUCAUUCUCAGCCGCCUGCCUAGGGUUGUUUCAGGCUGAGGAGUGGAAUGGCCCAGGGAACCUCCUCAACACACGUGAAGCGCAUGGUGUUACAAGCCAUGCAAGCGGUUCUGAGAGGCAUUCCCUAAGCUCCCACAGGCGGUCCCACAGGGUCACAGCAUCGGCUACCCAGAGCUGUGACCAGCUGAACAGUGUAUCCCCGGGUGGCUUUCCCUUCUUCCCGUUCACACUCCUCCCUCACCUUGUGCCCUGGGAUCACAAAAGACCUUGUUUCAGGCUCUGCUUUCCCGGGAGCCCAGGCGGACACACAGGGAUGAGUGGAGUGAGGGGGAGCACUCCUCUUCUGGAGCUUCGUGGCUAUCGAUAGACUCAGAAGGGCUCCAUAGUGCUCGGGACGCUCCUGGCGGUGAAGAGACUUGAAUGAGUUUUAGAUGCUGAAGUUUCCUUUGCUCUGGAAAACAAGCUGACUGAAGAAUGCUCCAACCAUUGUUCUCGGAGAAAGCAGUAAAGAAACCCUUGACCUAAACACACAUACUGCAGACUCUGAAACCAGCAGAACUGUUUUGUCUGUUAGUGAAAAACAGCUGGUUUUUGUUGGGCAUGGUGAAGUCAGAGCUCUUCCUCUGUAGAUUUCUGUCCUGGACCUGAGUGGUGAGGGGAAGGCAGCCCAGGGGAGACCAGUGGACCAGGAGCCAGAGGAAUUUCUGGAAGCACAAUCAAGCCUUAGUGUAGGCAGAGAUAGCAUCAGGAACUGACGAGGGGCUCGGGGAAAGUACCACGGUCUGGGGACACAGAUGAGAUACUAGGGAUGGGAAGAAGUUUACAUGAGGGCACUCAGGCCUCAUAAUUUGUCUGAAAGUUGGGCAUCCAUGUCCACAUGGCAUCAUUGUUUGCCACUGGCACCAGUCGCAGAGUUGGAGGAUUUAAUUCACCAUCAAUGGCCACUGUAGCCAGAUGAGGGCAAAGGGCUGGGGUAGCCGGACACGGCCAGGCUGGCUCUGCGAGAAUUCUGAAAACUUGUUCUGCUUCUGCAGCUGCACAUGGAUAAAACAGCCACUGGAUACGGAGGGAGGGCCUGCUGCAGUGACUGUCACAUCCGAGUGUUCUUUAGAUACUGAAAACACUGAAACAAAGACCUUUCAUCUAGCAUGUUUGUUUUUGUUGUAAAUUGAAUAUGCGCUUAUGUUAGAUGAAGAAAAAACUAGAUGAGAAAGCACAUAUCACCUGCAUUCCUGCUGUCCAGCUCUUUCCAUUCACAUUUAAACUCUUUCUAGAAGACUGGGAUAAUCUUCUGUAUUUGUAUUGUAUUUAUUUUCUAAUGGGCUUUUUUAUGAGCGUAUUUUUAAUUAAAUUAAAACAAAUUUAAUGGCUACAUGUCAUUCUGCUUUAUGGCUCUAUAUCCUUUAACUAGUUCUCUAUUGUUGGCCAUUUAGGCUUGUCCUGGUUUUUGUAAUAAUUAACACUCCCAUGGUUAUCUUUCUACAAAAUUCUUUGCCUCAUCCCUGGUAGUUUCUUUAGCGUAGCUUCUCAGGAGUAGAAUUACUGGGACAAGUGACCUGAACUUGGUAAAGCCCACACUACCAAAUUGCCUGCAUCAAGUUGUACUCCCACCAUCUCUAUUAUUGCUUUUGUUACCUUGUGGCAAAAUCUAUUU
This is a long non-coding RNA of Equus asinus (donkey), 2387 nucleotides long. Lineage: Eukaryota; Metazoa; Chordata; Mammalia; Perissodactyla; Equidae. The record is from Ensembl.